Long non-coding RNA from Hevea brasiliensis (rubber tree), 760 nucleotides. RefSeq lists it as uncharacterized. Lineage: Eukaryota; Viridiplantae; Streptophyta; Magnoliopsida; Malpighiales; Euphorbiaceae. The record is from RefSeq and is a predicted model, not a curated record. The transcript has 4 exons.
AAUGGGGGUCGCAUGAGCUUCCACGAAAUCCUCAAUAUUAUCGCUUCUCAGGUCGAAGUUGCCGUUCAAAACUUGGCAAAUUUGCGGGCGUGCCAUUGUUCACGUGGAAGAAUAAAUCCUAGAAGGUUUCUACUUCGUUAUCUGUAACAGCCUUAUCGAUGGAAACGCCUCCUCAAGGGUACAGAAAGAUUGUUCGAAUUUGUCUCGUCAAUGCCUCCAAAAAGAUCAUUGAGGAUGAACAUACCGGACACAUGGCAAAAGCAUCAGGGUGGUGCCGAUGAAUGGGAGGACCUUAGAUUUGCAGCAAUGAGAGAACUAAGGAAAGAAACAGGAGUUACUUCAGCUGAGUUUCUUGCAGAGGUUCCUGAUUAAGUUUACUGGGAAGGAAGGAGGAAGAGAUCAACCUAUUGGGAGAUGGAUAUUCAAGGAUUGGUCAUGGAUGUUACCAGAACGAGUGGUGGAGCUUGUGAGUAAACCUUACUGCAUAAACAUUAACUGGAAUUCUUUCUUUGAAUAUUCAUACCAAAGAGUUGUUCUGCACAGAAAUGAGACUUAUAACAAAGUGGAUAUUGGGUCUUCUUCAGCAUGAAGUAGCCUGAAAAUGUUAAUUAGAAAUAUCAAUGAAGCGUGUUUCUUGGCAUUAAAACCGUUACAAGUAUUAGAGGCAUGUACGGUUUUUGGAGUCUCGAAUGAAAUGAGGGAUCAUAUUGAAUUGAUCAAAAUCAUAUUAAAUUGAAAUUAUUUUAUUAUUUUUAUUUAA